UACGUAGGGUGCGAGCGUUAAUCGGAAUUACUGGGCGUAAAGCGUGCGCAGGCGGUGAGCUGUGUCCGAUGUGAAAGCCCCCGGGCUUAACCUGGGAAUGGCAUUGGAAACUGGCUCGCUGGAGUGUGGCAGAAGGGGGUGGAAUUCCGCGUGUAGCAGUGAAAUGCGUAGAGAUGCGGAGGAACACCGAUGGCGAAGGCAGCCCCCUGGGCUAACACUGACGCUCAGGCACGAAAGCGUGGGGAGCAAACAGG
This 254-nucleotide ribosomal RNA is filed under the name uncultured bacterium. Its description in RNAcentral is "partial 16S ribosomal RNA". It matches the Rfam family "Bacterial small subunit ribosomal RNA", at positions 524 to 776 of the family's 1533-position model. The record is from RNAcentral.